Molecule: unclassified non-coding RNA, 211 nt
Filed under: Pseudomonas palleroniana
Lineage: Bacteria; Pseudomonadati; Pseudomonadota; Gammaproteobacteria; Pseudomonadales; Pseudomonadaceae
Description: Pseudomonas sRNA P29
Source: RNAcentral
AAACUACAAGGGGAGCCGAAGCUCCCCCAGAAGUAGUUGCGUGCUCUAUUUUUAUUAUUGAUUGCGGGCUUCUUGUUUUUGUUGAUCGCCCUCGUCAGGAAGCUUUACCUUCAUGACACUCCCAAUCGGGAGUCAAGAGCAAACGGAUUGCUUUGGUCGCUGUGUUGCUGAUCUACGAUCCAACCAGUUCAGGCUCUGCCUUAGGGCAGUU